ACUGGCGGCCGUAUCACCCUGCAGCUCCCAACUGGCAACUCACUGCAGCUCAGCAGGUGUGAGCCUGGUCAGUACCUGGAUGGGAGACCUCCUGGGAAAGCUAAGGUUGAUGCUGGAA
RNAcentral lists this ribosomal RNA (118 nucleotides) under Lepisosteus oculatus (spotted gar). Lineage: Eukaryota; Metazoa; Chordata; Actinopteri; Semionotiformes; Lepisosteidae. The record is from RNAcentral.